UUGUAACCCCCCGCAAUGAUAACUUGUGAACUCGGCCAGGCCCGGAAGGGAGCAACCGCAGCAAGCGACUCGUGUGCCGGGGUGUCGGCUCUA
Molecule: signal recognition particle RNA, 93 nt
Filed under: Shewanella sp. JNE17
Lineage: Bacteria; Pseudomonadati; Pseudomonadota; Gammaproteobacteria; Alteromonadales; Shewanellaceae
Also listed under: 3 other names
Description: signal recognition particle sRNA small type
Rfam family: Bacterial small signal recognition particle RNA
About the family: The signal recognition particle (SRP) is a universally conserved ribonucleoprotein involved in the co-translational targeting of proteins to membranes.
Source: RNAcentral